This 702-nucleotide ribosomal RNA is filed under the name uncultured bacterium. RNAcentral's name for it is "bacterial SSU rRNA". It matches the Rfam family "Bacterial small subunit ribosomal RNA", at positions 416 to 1109 of the family's 1533-position model. The record is from RNAcentral.
CUUCGGAUCGUAAAGCUCUGUUGUUAGGGAAGAAUAAGUCAGGGAGUAACUGCCCUGGCCUUGACGGUACCUAACCAGAAAGCCACGGCUAACUACGUGCCAGCAGCCGCGGUAAUACGUAGGUGGCAAGCGUUGUCCGGAUUUAUUGGGCGUAAAGCGCGCGCAGGCGGUUCUUUAAGUCUGAUGUGAAAGCCCGCAGCUUAACUGCGGAGGGUCAUUGGAAACUGGAGAACUUGAGUGCAGAAGAGGAGAGUGGAAUUCCACGUGUAGCGGUGAAAUGCGUAGAGAUGUGGAGGAACACCAGUGGCGAAGGCGACUCUCUGGUCUGUAACUGACGCUGAGGCGCGAAAGCGUGGGGAGCGAACAGGAUUAGAUACCCUGGUAGUCCACGCCGUAAACGAUGAGUGCUAGGUGUUAGGGGGUUUCCGCCCCUUAGUGCUGAAGUUAACGCAUUAAGCACUCCGCCUGGGGAGUACGGCCGCAAGGCUGAAACUCAAAAGAAUUGACGGGGGCCCGCACAAGCGGUGGAGCAUGUGGUUUAAUUCGAAGCAACGCGAAGAACCUUACCAGGUCUUGACAUCCUCUGACCACCCUAGAGAUAGGGCUUUUCCUUCGGGGACAGAGUGACAGGUGGUGCAUGGUUGUCGUCAGCUCGUGUCGUGAGAUGUUGGGUUAAGUCCCGCAACGAGCGCAACCCUUGAG